AGCAGCAUAGCUCAGUGGAAAGAGACUGGAUUUGGGAGUCAGAGGUCAUGGGUUCUAAUCCCCUUUCUGCCG
This 72-nucleotide transfer RNA is filed under the name Ornithorhynchus anatinus (platypus). It matches the Rfam family "tRNA". From Rfam's summary of the family: Transfer RNA (tRNA) molecules are approximately 80 nucleotides in length. Their secondary structure includes four short double-helical elements and three loops (D, anti-codon, and T loops). The record is from Rfam by way of RNAcentral. Lineage: Eukaryota; Metazoa; Chordata; Mammalia; Monotremata; Ornithorhynchidae.